Molecule: ribosomal RNA, 1358 nt
Filed under: metagenome
Description: bacterial SSU rRNA
Rfam family: Bacterial small subunit ribosomal RNA
Source: RNAcentral
AGAGUUUGAUCCUGGCUCAGGAUGAACGCUGGCGGCGUGCUUAACACAUGCAAGUCGAACGAUCCUUCGGGAUAGUGGCGGACGGGUGAGUAACGCGUGGGAAUCUGCCCUCAGGAGGGGGAUAACGGCUGGAAACGGCCGCUAAUACCCCAUAUGCCGAGAGGUGAAAUGAAUUUCGCCUGAGGAUGAGCCCGCGUCUGAUUAGCUAGUUGGUGGGGUAAAGGCCUACCAAGGCAACGAUCAGUAGCUGGUCUGAGAGGAUGAUCAGCCACACUGGGACUGAGACACGGCCCAGACUCCUACGGGAGGCAGCAGUGGGGAAUUUUCCGCAAUGGGCGAAAGCCUGACGGAGCAACGCCGCGUGAGGGAUGAAGGCCUCUGGGCUGUAAACCUCUUUUCUCAAGGAAGAAGACCUGACGGUACUCGAGGAAUAAGCCACGGCUAAUUCCGUGCCAGCAGCCGCGGUAAUACGGGAGUGGCAAGCGUUAUCCGGAAUUAUUGGGCGUAAAGCGUCCGCAGGCGGCCUUGUAAGUCUGUUGUUAAAGCGUGGAGCUCAACUCCAUUUAAGCAUGGAAACUACAAGGCUGGAGUGUGGUAGGGGCAGAGGGAAUUCCCGGUGUAGCGGUGAAAUGCGUAGAUAUCGGGAAGAACACCAGUGGCGAAGGCGCUCUGCUGGGCCAUAACUGACGCUCAUGGACGAAAGCCAGGGGAGCGAAAGGGAUUAGAUACCCCUGUAGUCCUGGCCGUAAACGAUGAGCACUAGGUGUCGGGGGAAUCGACCCCCUCGGUGUCGUAGCCAACGCGUUAAGUGUUCCGCCUGGGGAGUACGCACGCAAGUGUGAAACUCAAAGGAAUUGACGGGGGCCCGCACAAGCGGCGGAGUAUGUGGUUUAAUUCGAUGCAACGCGAAGAACCUUACCAGGGUUUGACAUCCUGCGAACCCCUGAGAAAUCGGGGGGUGCCUUCGGGAGCGCAGAGACAGGUGGUGCAUGGCUGUCGUCAGCUCGUGUCGUGAGAUGUUGGGUUAAGUCCCGCAACGAGCGCAACCCACGUCUUUAGUUGCCAGCAUUCAGUUGGGCACUCUAGAGAGACCGCCGGUGAUAAACCGGAGGAAGGUGUGGAUGACGCCAAGUCAUCAUGCCCCUUACAUCCUGGGCUACACACGUACUACAAUGCUACGGACAAAGGGCAGCAAGCUCGCGAGAGUUAGCAAAUCCCAUAAACCGUGGCUCAGUUCAGAUCGUAGGCUGCAACUCGCCUACGUGAAGGAGGAAUCGCUAGUAAUCGCAGGUCAGCAUACUGCGGUGAAUACGUUCCCGGGCCUUGUACACACCGCCCGUCACACCAUGGAAGUAAAG